Molecule: ribosomal RNA, 398 nt
Filed under: uncultured bacterium
Lineage: Bacteria
Description: bacterial SSU rRNA
Rfam family: Bacterial small subunit ribosomal RNA
Source: RNAcentral
GAUGAACGCUGGCGGUAUGCCUAACACAUGCAAGUCGUACGGGAGUUUUUAACUCCAGUGGCGGACGGGUGAGUAACACGUGAGAAUUUGCCUUUAGGAGGGGGAUAACAAUUGGAAACGAUUGCUAAUACCCCAUAUGCUUAAGAGUGAAAUAGAUUUAUCUGCCUAAAGAAAAGCUCGCGGCUGAUUAGCUUGUUGGUAAGGUAAUGGCUUACCAAGGCGACGAUCAGUAUCUGGUUUGAGAGGACGAUCAGACACACUGGAACUGAGACACGGUCCAGACUCCUACGGGAGGCAGCAGUGGGGAAUUUUCCGCAAUGGGGGAAAGCCUGACGGAGCAAUACCGCGUGAGGGAAGAGGGCCUAUGGGUGGUAAACCUCUUUUUUCAGGGAGGAAGA